AUGGAAACGUGUGUGGGCCUAUCAGCCCUGCAACCGAUGGCGGUCGUCGCUAUUUCCUGCUGCUGGUUGAUGACUGCACCAUUGUUUCAAUUCAGCGAGUCCAAGCGGUGGCUGAAGCAGAGUGUGGACGGCCAUUCCAUAUCUUCCGCACCUAUCAGCCCUGCAACCGAUGACGGUCGUCGCUAUUUCCUGCUGCUGGUUGAUGACUGCACACCGUUGCUUCAAUUCAGCGAGUCCAAGCGGUGGCUGAAGCAGAGUGUGGACGGCCAUUCCAUGUCUUCCGCACCACAGUGGCGGCGAAUUCACCUCGUUGGAGUUUGCACACCAUUGUGA
Molecule: ribosomal RNA, 333 nt
Filed under: Triticum aestivum (bread wheat)
Lineage: Eukaryota; Viridiplantae; Streptophyta; Magnoliopsida; Poales; Poaceae
Description: partial small subunit ribosomal RNA
Source: RNAcentral